This is a long non-coding RNA of Gavialis gangeticus (Gharial), 1098 nucleotides long. RefSeq lists it as uncharacterized. Lineage: Eukaryota; Metazoa; Chordata; Crocodylia; Gavialidae. The record is from RefSeq and is a predicted model, not a curated record. The transcript is spliced from 3 exons.
ACCACAUCAGUCCUAUUACAUAAUAAACACCACCGCAUCUACGGCAGAUCACUGUUCUGCUGCCUACGUGUCAUUUUUAACUGCAACAAGACCGUUAAGUGGCUAUGGACAAAGAGACAGUGCAAGUAAGAGAGGCAGAGGGAAAAAUGGAUGGUAGCAAUAACUUACCUGGGUGUUUAUUUAACAUGAAGAAAGAUGCAGGAUGUUCAACGCUCAUCCAAACCUGUUGACUUCAGGGACUCCCAUUACACCAAGCAGAUCUAAAUUUAACUUCUUCUAUGAUGAAUUUAAAGCUAUAUUCAUCAUAACGGUAACAGUCUGAGACGGAAGAAAAGAGGAACCUAAAGAAAAUGCAUCAGACAAAACAAUAAGGCAAGGAAAGAUCUGUACUGGAACACAGUGUUUCAGAAAAGUUGAAAAGAAAGCUACAGAGAUAGGAAAUUCUGGGUUCUUUUUUCCAUACUAUACGCUUUUGUGUAAUAAUUAAAAAAAAAAAAGAUUAAAGAUACCAAGGAAUGCACUUAAAAAGAAAAAAAAUGAUUACAGGGACAUUUUGUUCUGUAGGACUUUUCUCAGAUCUUGGAAAAAUAGCUGAGCAAAUUGAUUCUAUUACAGUAAUUGCCUACGCCUUGCAGAAUGAACAGCUACCAUUACAAUAUUGGAGUAUUCAUUGGAGUAAUAUGUUUCCAGGGUAUUUUUAAUUAGUUCUACCAACUUGUCUAAUAGCCUUCCUAAAAGCCUCAAAACAUGGCAGAAGGCACAACUGCUGACUCAGGCUCGGAGAGCACCUGCACAAUCUCCUCCAGGAGAGAAACACGUGUGCCAACUGCAGUCCCUUUGGGGUCUGGGGUGAGCUCCAGUGCUUGCAGGCAGCCAUUCAGACUCACCGCGAGAUGGCACAUCCGUGUCCCACCGUCAGAGGAUGACAGCACGUUUAAUACAUGUCCCACGUCUCCAACACGAGCAUCCCCACAGGACGUGGAGCUUCUAAAUCUCGUAGUUAGGGCCAAGUCCUAGACCCCAACACAAACCCCAUCUUAUCAUGGUAACUUUGUCAAGAGGAGGGAAGUAGAGUCCACUCUCCCGGCAGAAGAAGCA